RNAcentral lists this long non-coding RNA (6090 nucleotides) under Anthonomus grandis grandis. RNAcentral's name for it is "uncharacterized LOC126741491". Lineage: Eukaryota; Metazoa; Arthropoda; Insecta; Coleoptera; Curculionidae. The record is from RNAcentral.
AUUGUGAGAGGAAUUCGUGGCAAAAUAACGUCGUUGGAAACAUCUUCGAAUAUUCUAAGGAUUUUCAGUUUUAAGGGUUAAAAUGGAUGAAGUAAAAUCCAAGCUGUUUAAAUCUUUUUCUCUUUAUUGCCAACGUUUCCGUGACUAUUUCAGUAAAAAUUAUCAUUUUUAAUAUUGUUGCUUGCGCACCAGUACUUCGGUAUAUUAUAUCCUCGAAAAUUAGACACUUAAUGGAAUCAUCAAAAGAUACACGAAUGUUUUAUUUUAUACUGCCAAACGAAAAGCCUUGAUUUUUUCUGUUCUACUGAAAUAUAGUGUCAAAUUUAAUAAUUCUGUUUCUCAAACUGUCAGUGUUGAUUUUGGCGUUCCCCAAGGAACGGUCUUGGGUCCAUUACUGUUUUUGCUAUAUAUCAAUGGGAUGGUUAGCGUUAUUGAAAAAUCAAAUGUAGUGUUGUUUGUUGACGAUAUCAUGUUGUACCAUCGUGCCGAAAAAAAACUGGGACAUUAAAAUUUAGGUAGGGAAUUGUCUUCUAGUCUAUUAUAGUAAAUCGCGUUCCUUGGGUAUGGUAUGCAUAUUUACGCAUUAUGAAUUUUUGAAGUCUUAUUAAUUACAUAUUUAAAUAAUAAUAUUGAUACAAAACAUUUUUAUUUUUCGAUAUUUAUUUUUAUUUGGAACACAUUUUAUAAAUAAACCAAAAGUAACAAAAUAUUUUUUUGAUAAUAUGGAAUAAAAAAUUAUUAAUACUUAGUAAGCGCACCGUCGUUAUCAAUUACAGCUUGCAAACGUCGUGGCAUACUUAAAAUUAAGUUUCUGGUAUAUUCUUCGGUUAUAUGGUCCUAUGCGUCAUCUAUCUUUAGGCGUAAUUCAUUCUGAUUUCUGGGCCUAAAGUUCAUAUAUUCUCUUUAUACAUAUAUUUUGCCAUUUUACCCCAAACGUUUCCAACUGGGUUAAUAUCAGGGCUUUUCGAGGGCCACGGUAAAACUUAAAUUCGUCUUUCUUCUAGAUAGUUUUGAACUAUACGGGUUGUAUGUAUAGGAGCACUAUAAUGUUGGAAGAUAAAAUCUUGCCCAUAGAUACACCAACUGAUGGCAUCAAAACAUUGUUUAGGUUAUUGCAAUAUCCUAAGGCAUUAAGCCUUUCCUGCACUAUUUGACAAACGCCUGGUCCUCUAAAACUAAUCCAGGCGCAAACCUUUAUACUAAAACGUCCACUUUGAUUAGUCUUGAUGUGUAUAUCUUUCAUCACAUCUGGUAUUAGAAGGCCUGUAAAUGCGGAACGUAAAGGUUUUUUAAAGAACUUGGAUUUUUUACAAUAGGUCCAUAUUCUGCAAUUUUGCUUUAGCUAAGGAAACGCGAUUCUUCUUAUAGGAACUCCAUCCAUCAGACGAGUGUAUAAUAUCGCCUUUUGUUGAGGAGAAAAUUCAGGCAUUUUUAAAGAACGAUUUUGUUGACGCGGCUGUCACAAAAUUAAAUUAACUUUGACAACAUCAAAAUAUAUUAUUCUAAUAGACCAAGUGAUUUAGGAGAUUUUUCUGUCCCAGUUUUUUUUCGGCACGAUAGUACAUAGUGGUUAAAAACCUCGUUCAAAUGGUUUGUGAUGUGAAUAUUGAACUCAGCGACCUAUUCAACUGGUUCUGUGAUAACAAGUUAAGUUUGAAUACAGUGUUUGGAAAAAAAAUAGCUUCUAUUAACAUUCCAAGUGUGCGAAUUCGUGAAAAUUCGCGCAGACUAUAUUAUAUACACUGGGUUUUGUUAUUAGAAACUCAAGCUGGUUUAAAAUAGAUACUGUAAUAAGACUGUUCAUUGCAAUAGUUCGACCUCACCUUGAGUAUGCGGCUAUAAUAUGUAUCCUCACAGAAGUAUGUUGACUAAUUUCAACAUAGUAUCUUUAAAUCAAAGAAGAGAUGAUCAGUCUGUUAUUUUUAAAUAUAAUAUAGUGAACAAUAAAAAAUAUAGUAAUCUGAAUUUAAUUAACAGAAUAGAUUUGAAUGUCCCCAAGGUAGCCCUUAGACCUACAAACACUAAAAAAUUUAAUGUGAAUUUUGCUAGUUUAUGGCCCCUUAAAAUCAUGGAUCACUUUAUUGCAUCAAAGUGCAAUAAAGUGAUCCAACUCUGUGAUAUAGAUAUUUGUAAUAUUAAUACAUUUUAACUCCUAAAGAGAAACUACUUAGUCUGGAAUUAAAUUAAUUUUAUAAUGUAUCUAUAUAUGAAUCUUAGUACUGCCUUUACUGAUCUGUAACUUUUCCCUAUAAUUUAAUUUUAUUGUUUCUUUGUAUAACGCCAUGACACUAGCCCGUUUGCAGUUUUGUUCAACGCUGUUAUAUAAUUUGCCAGAAUUUAAAAUUUACUAGAUGGAAAAAAUCCAAAGUGGGGCAAUGAGGACAAUUUUAAAAUGUAACCGUUAUACACCAAUUAAAUGAAUGUUAAAUGUUUUAAAUAUGUCGUCCCACAUAGGAGUAUUCCGAAAUCGGGCCGGAAAAGAUUUGAUACAUGUUUUUAGGUAUCCAAGACUAUAGUGCAUCAAACCUAACUGUUAUUUAUUGUUUAUGCCUUAUCAACGCUCUUAAUUGUCACUUUUAAGGUUAAUAGUUUGUGAGGUCUAUAUCAAAGUGUUUAGAAUGAAAUAAAUUUAAUAAUUUUUAAUUUGAAUUGUGUCGUAGCUAGAUUAUUUUAAGAAAAGUAAAGUUAAGGAGUCUAAUACAACAGGUAAGUACUUACAAACUGCAUUUUUAUUUUUUUACAUUUAUUGUAUACUUUCUUUGGUAUUCCAUUUUUAAGAUGAUAACCUUUUAGUAAUAAACAUUUAAAAAAAAUAUAUAUCAAAAAUGAUUAAGUCAAAGUGCCGGGAUUUGCCGGGCAUUGAUAUUAAUAUUUUUGAAUAGCCUAUAUAUUUGUCUUCUAUGGUACAAAAAAUAAAUGUCAACUUUUUGAACUAACGCCUUAAAGGAGGGAGGAGGACACCUCAAAAUAUUGAAAAUUUGAAAUGUGACAUUUCGUGAUUUUUUCAUGUUUUAGCUACAUCUGGCUUUCGAAAUAUGACACGUAGGAUGCUAUUUACAUUUGUCAGGGAGUCAGAAGGUGUUAAUAUAACAGAAAAAUGAAAAAUUCUGGAAGGAUACAUCCUUAACUUUGGACCAUUUUCUGAUAAGGAUGAAAUUAAAGUAAAACGAGAAAUUCGUCGGUUAAAGUCUGAAAUUGUAUCAAUAUGGAGAAAGUCACAUGCUAUAUGGGAUAAAUUCGAAAAGAAUAACAAAGGAUGGCUGAAUGGAAUCAUUUCACUUCCUAAACCUCUGAGCUCGCCCUCUCAAAGAGUUGGCCAUCUAAAAACAAAAUUCUAUGAUUCGAGUAAAAGAACCAAGAGAAGAAAAACGAAAACUUUGAGAAGAGACAAUGAACUGGAAGAACUUACUUUUGCAACUCAAGUAAAAUUAGUUAAUAAAGGGAAACGUGAUGCUUCUCUCGUGCUGAAAGAAAUCACACCCUUCUACACCCAAACGAGCCACUGCCUAUAAAAAAGCGUUCAGUGCAAGUAAAUCCAAAGAGAAGGUACAACUAACACCGCAACAAGCGUUAUCAAUGUUCAUCGACGCAGACUUAUCAAAGAGGCAGUACGAAAUCAUAAGAAGUUAUAAUCCAUCUAUGUAUCCAUGCUACAGUAAGAUCCAAGAAGUCAAAAAAGAGUCUACAAAGAAUCAUUAAUUACUGUCACCGAAACUUUAGCAGAUAUUAAGCUUCAGAAUUUGAUGGAUCACACUGUAUCCAGAUUACUGACAGAUCUUUACGAAGUAGUUAAAACGCUUGACGAAGAAGAAAGAAAUGCCUUGGAACUCAUAUGUAAAGGGGGAUGCGAUGGAGCGCAACAAGCGCAAUUCAACAAAACUUUGUAUGUGACUCCGACACGGACGCUAACUUGUUCCAAAGCUCACUUGUCCCUUUACGGCUUAUUUGUUCCUUAAAUGGAAAAAUACUAUGGCAGAACCCCACUUCUUCAUCUCCUCGUUAUUGCCGCCCAAUCAGGCUGAGAUUUAUAAAAGAAACCGCAGAUGUGACAAGAGAAGAAAUAUCAUAUAUCAAAGAUGCUUCAAAAAAUUUAAACAAAACGAAAUGAAAGUCCAAAUGAAAGAAAAUAUUGCUUGCGAGGUAUCGCAUACAAUGAUGUUGACCAUGGUCGAUCGAAAGGUGUGCAACUCUGUGACAAGCACAUCAUCUACAAUGAGGUGCUACAUAUGUCGCUUAACUUCAAAGGAUUUUAACUGUAUCCAAAAAAAGGGGACAGUUAAUGUGAAAACUUUUGAGUUUGGUUUAUCUAUUCUUCAUGCCCGAAUACGAUUUUUUGAAGCUGUUUUACAUUUGGCCUAUAAACUACCAGUACAAAAGUGGCAGCUCAGAAGCGAUGAAGAAAAAGAAAAAGUCAAACUCAGGAAACUCGCAAUCCAAAGCGAAUUUAAGUCAAAGAUGGGAUUUUUUGCAAACCACGAACUGUCUGCAGAAAUUACUGGUAUAGACGCGACAUUUAUCUAUCGCCUGAAAAUUAUUCUGGUUUGGGUCGGGUCUGGUCUUGGAAAGUUUUGUCGAGUGAGCAUGAGGUGAAUACGAAAACAUUUUCGGUUUUCGCUACAGAAACGGCAGAACGUGAUAAGACAUGCUUUGCUGCCAAUCGGACAACUGUCUGAGGAGGCUGCUGAAGCCAGGAACAAAUACAUACGCCUCUAUCGCCAAAACUUCGCAAGAAAAUUUUCUCGAAAAGAAUGUAACGCGGACAUAUUAAACAGACUUCUUCUAAACUCCGAUCCUGUAAUGACGGGAAUGAGACCGAGAAGAAGAAAGUUGUCGGAACCUUUCUCAAAAGACACCAUAUCAAUGCUACAGUCGACUGUAUUUAAUUAGUAUUUACUGUAGUAUUUACUGUAGUUGGUAUUAAUUAAUAUUGUAGUUAGUAUUAAUUAUUAUUGUUGUAGUUGUCGAAACCUUUCUCAAAAGACACCAUAUUAUUGCUACAGUCGACUGUAGUUAAUUUGUAUUGACUGUAGUAUUAUUUUGCAGUAUUUACUGUAGGUAGUAUUGACUGUAUUAAUUGUUAUCAUGUUGUAAACAUGAUUACAAACCAAAAAUAAUUUUGGCCGCCCAGAUUGAUGAAAUACUCCUAUGUGCGUCCGUCCAUCACCGAGUACUGUGUAACGUUAAUUUAAGUUAAAAAGGGCCUUUUACCAAGAUAUAUCUGUGACAAAUUAGUAAUAUUUCAUGAUGUCCAUAACUAUAAUACAACAAAUUGUACAGAUUUUAUACUAUCUUAUAAAUGUAGCACUACUCAAAUGCUCAAUUCCGUGCUAUACAAAGGUCUGUUAAGAGUUUAAUAACACAAAAACCUGUGAUAACAUUAAACAAUUUAAACGCUUAUUGAGAGCACAUAUUUUAAAUUAGUUAUUAGGUCUUAUGUUUCAGUUUUAUAUUGUAAUACGACUUAAAUCCCAUUCUGCAUGUUAAGUUUUAUUAAGUCAUAUUUAAUGGUUGAGUUUUACUAUUUUAUAUUUACCAUAAGUGUUUAUUACUUAUAGAUAUAUCAAUAUUGUAUUUAUUAUUUAAACCCACUGUAAUUUAUAUGUGGCACAUUUGCUAAAUAAAGAGAUAUUAUUACUAUUAAUAUUAAAGAGCAAAAGAUUUAUUCAGCUUGGAUUUUACUUGACCCCACAUCCAUCUUAACCCUUACAACUCAAUAUAACUAAACUGGUCACCAAUAUUCUAGUUUAGGAGUUUACUUGACAAAUUUGCUUCACGAAAAACCCCUUAUUAAGAAUAUUCCAAUAAUUGCCAAAACGACGUCAUUUUGCUACCUUAGGUUUAAAAAACCCUUAAUUAAAAAAAAAAAUUUCUAAUUUACAAUUAGGAACUGAAAUAUGGAAUACCCUUUCAAGGGCGCAGACACAUAUGGUGUCUAUAUCAUGUGGUAUGAUUUCACUUUCAAUAUAAACUGUAUAUCGCUAGAAUCUCUCUUUUUUCAAUCUUAAAAUUGCUAUAUAGUUUGUUUACUCUUACACGCUAAAAUACCCCAAUCUCGAUUUUUAUUAAGUAGUAAUAAAUAAAUCUCAUUUU